Molecule: non-coding RNA, 184 nt
Filed under: Rhodocyclaceae bacterium
Lineage: Bacteria; Pseudomonadati; Pseudomonadota; Betaproteobacteria; Rhodocyclales; Rhodocyclaceae
Also listed under: 1 other name
Description: 6S RNA
Rfam family: 6S / SsrS RNA
About the family: E. coli 6S RNA was the first non coding RNA to be sequenced, but its function was unknown until recently.
Source: RNAcentral
AAUCCCCUGCAGUGUUUGUGUUGGCCGUAGAUUCCUUGAACCAAUGUCUUCGAGACUUGGUUGCUGACUGAUGAUUCGCCAGUGUGCCGUCCCCACUGUCGGGAAUGCCUGAGGCGAUCGGAAAGCGACCUCCCUGAAUCCCAGGUUCAGGAUGCCCGGCCAGGGCGGCACACGCGGGGGGCCA